Long non-coding RNA from Eriocheir sinensis (Chinese mitten crab), 3071 nucleotides. RefSeq lists it as uncharacterized. The transcript has 2 exons. The record is from RefSeq and is a predicted model, not a curated record. NCBI's taxonomy places the organism in Eukaryota, Metazoa, Arthropoda, Malacostraca, Decapoda, Varunidae.
UUGGCCCGUCGCUGCUACACGGUAAAGCCACAAAUUUGGCCCGUCGCUGCUACACGGUAAAGCCACAAAUUUGGCCCGUCGCUGCUACACGGUAAAGCCACAAAUUUGGCCCGUCGCUGCUACACGGUAAAGCCACAAAUUUGGCCCGUCGCUGCUACACGGUUAAGAAAAAAUAUAUUAUAGUGUGUUGAGCCAAGUCUGGAGGACAUACUGGUGGUGUAGGAUUGCUCCUGCCCUAUACGGGGGACUACGAGCCUUUGCCAGGGGCGGCCCGACAGACUGACUAUAUUGGCGGGGCGCGCUAACCAAGUCGUUCUGUCGAUGAGGGCAGGCGUGACACUGACAUCCUGGUGUGCUGUUGGUCUGGUGUCCUGUGGUGUGUGUGUGUUUAUGGUGUGUCCCAGCCCCAAGCAGUUGCCAGUGACUUCCAUGCACCCUCCCUGACGAACACUGCCAAUUAUAGUCAAGUUUGAGUUUAAAAUUAUUAGUAUUGUCACAAGCAGCUGUUUAAUAAUUAUAAUCAACAAGCUUGCAAAUUAACAAAGCAGGGAGAGCUUGUGAUAUGGGUGUCGCUCUCUCUCUCUCUCUCUCUCUCUCUCUCUCUCUCACACACACACACACCGCCCUCUAUGGUCAUUGAGUUGCGACUUGGUUCGGAAAAUAUUAAGAAAAAAAACACACAGAUGAGAGGCAUAAUGACCUUUGUUAACAUUUACAUACAUACAUACAAACACCAAAUUCUGAAGACCACCAAAAAAAAUUCAUAAAAACUGCACUUGACAGAACUAUUGAAGAACUAUUACUACUAUUAUUAUUACUAUUAUUAUUACUAUUAUCUUACUGACAAGAGGAGGGAGAGACAAUGCAAAAAAUCUAUCUACUUAACCAAUAAAAAUAAUAAUAAUAAUAAUAAUAAUAAUAAUAAAAAGAGCAAUACCCUUGACACUAAAGAAUCAAAUGAGAGUUUAAACAGAUUCAAAUGAGGGUUGAAAAUGUAAACAAAUGGACAAGGUAUAAGUUCACCGAGUCUAGAAAAACAAAUGACUAUCGAAAUAUAAGCGAAAUGAGUUUAAAUUCAAUGACAGUCUCUAGAAAUUCAAAUGAGAGUCUGUAAAAUCAAAUGACUAUCGAAAUAUAAGCGAAAUAUGUCUAUAGAUUCAACAACAGUCUCUAGAAAUUCAAAUGAGAGUCUGUUUAUAAGUUCACUGAGUCUAUGAAAUCAAAUGACUAUCGAAAUAUAAGUGAAAUAUGUCUAUAGAUUCAACAACAGUCUCUAGAAAUUCAAAUGAGAGUCUGUUUAUAAGUUCACUGAGUCUAGGAAAACAAAUGACUAUCGAAAUAUAAGCGAAAUGAGUUUAAAUUCAACGACACUCUCUAGAAAUUCAAAUGAGAGUCUGUUUAUAAGUUCACCGAGUCUAUGAAAUCAAAUGACUAUCAAAAUAUAAGCGAAAUAUGUCUAUAGAUUCAACAACAGUCUCUAGAAAUUCAAAUGAGUCUGUUUAUAAGUUCACUGAGUCUAUGAAAUCAAAUGACUAUCGAAACAUAAGCGAAAUGAGUUUAAAUUCAAUGACAGUCUCUAGAAAUUCAAAUGAGAGUCUGUUUAUAAGUUCACCGAGUCUAUGAAAUCAAAUGACUAUCGAAAUAUAAGCGAAAUAUGUCUAUAGAUUCAACAACAGUCUCUAGAAAGUCAAAUGAGAGUCUGUGUUUAUAAGUUCACUGAGUCUAUGAAAUCAAAUGACUAUCGAAAUAUAAGCGAAAUGAGUUUAAAUUCAAUGACAGUCUCUAGAAAUUCAAAUGAGAGUCUGUUUAUAAGUUCACUGAGUCUAUGAAAUCAAAUGACUCAAAAUAUAAGCGAAAUAUGUCUAUAGAUUCAACAACAGUCUCUAGAAAUUCAAAUGAGAGUCUGUUUAUAAGUUCACCGAGUCUAUGAAAUCAAAUGACUAUCAAAAUAUAAGCGAAAUGAGUUUAAAUUCAAUGACAGUCUCUAGAAAUUCAAAUGAGAGUCUGUGUUUAUAAGUUCACCGAGUCUAUGAAAUCAAAUGACUAUCAAAAUAUAAGCGAAAUAUGUCUAUAGAUUCAACGAGUCUAGAAAUUCAAAUGAGAGUCUGUGUUUAUAAGUCCACCGAGUCUAUGAAAUCAAAUGACUAUCAAAAUAUAAGCGAAAUGAGUUUAAAUUCAAUGACAGUCUCUAGAAAUUCAAAUGAGAGUCUGUUUAUAAGUUCACUGAGUCUACGAAAACAAAUGACUAUCGAAACAUAAGCGAAAUGAGUUUAAAUUCAAUGACAGUCUCUAGAAAUUCAAAUGAGAGUCUGUUUAUAAGUUCACUGAGUCUAUGAAAUCAAAUGACUGUCGAAAUAUAAGCGAAAUGAGUUUAAAUUCAACGACACUCUCUAGAAAUCCAAAUGAGAGUCUGUGUUUAUGUGUCAAGGUGUUGAUUGAGUGUCCAAACCAAAACAAACCUAGAAAUUAGUUGCUUAUUUGAAUGCAGCUGAAUAAUAAUAAUAAUAGUAAUAAUAAUAAUAAUAAUAAUAAUAAUAAUAAUAAUAAUAAUAAUAAUAAUAAUAAUAAUAAUAAUAAUGCAAAAUAUGAGACUUUGAAUUGAAGAAGAGGGAAAAAGGACAUUGAAAGAUAGAGAGAAGGAGAAGAGGAAGGAAGAAGAGGAGGAGGAGAAGGGGAAGGAAGAAGAGGAGGAAGAGAGAGGAAGGAAGGAGGAAGAGGAAAAAAGGAAGAAUAAGAAGAGGAGAGAGAGAGAGAGAGAGGAAAAAAUUAAUAUAAAUAGAAAAUAAAAAAAAUAGAAAAAAAAUAAGUAAGGGCUUUAAACGCACAUAAGUCGCCACUGCGCGCACACACACACUGGCGUACACACAGAGAGAGACCGGACGCGCACAUAUGUACACACACAGCACUGUAAUAUCACAAAGAUCUGGCUCCCUGUCAUAACAACUUGAAAUGGACAGAGACUCGUAAUGUACACACACAAAUACGCACAUGGCCUCGCGCGCACACACAUUCCUUCACGCACAUACAUACACACACACAUAUGCAUAUUAGGAGGAGGAGGAGGAGGAGGA